Molecule: long non-coding RNA, 851 nt
Organism: Hyla sarda
Lineage: Eukaryota; Metazoa; Chordata; Amphibia; Anura; Hylidae
Exons: 7
Source: RefSeq, a predicted model, not a curated record
GCGGAAAACUUUACAUCCCCGGGGGGCGGAGAAUCUGUACCGCGCAUGCGUGCCAGCCGCGGGUAUAAGAGCCCAUGCGCGGCUUCCGUUGUUCUCUUUGUGGUGCGGGACUUGGCUGUCGUGGUGUUCGCUGUGCAGCUCUUCAUCUAGGCGGUGGUCCCGGGGUCCGUGUAGCGUCAGCUGUGUGCCUUCUCUGUCAGGAGCUGUAGUCCUGCCUGCUAGUGACCUGUCGGUAGCUUCUAGCACAUGGAGCGGAGAUCACGUGGCCCGCGGAGGCGCCUGCCCUGCCGCCCGGCCUGGUGUGUUGGUGUCUCUCCUGAGGGUGCUAGAUCAACAUACCAGACAUGAGUAGUGUUGGUGUCUCUCCUGAGGGUGCUAGGACAACAUACCAGACAUGAGUAGGGGAGAAUGGAGCAGAGAUCACACUCCCUGCAAACAAGCCUGCUCUGUGGUGUGAUGGCGUCCUGUCUGCAAAGAGUUAAAGGGUCAUCGUGGCUGACAUGAUCAGUGAUGGAGUCUGUGGCAGAUGUGGGGUCAGUGUGGCAAACAUGAGCAGUAAACCUGUCAUGGUGCUGAGGAGAUCCAGCCAGUUGUAUCUGAUAUGGAGAACAAGCCUGGGGAUAUGGCUGCUCAUGUGAUGUGAAGGACAGAAAAGGCUCGGGUUGCAGUAACCUCACUACCCCAAUCCUAAUGAAGGGUGAAGAAAAUGGGCCUGCAGCUUCCAAAGAACCAGGUGUUUCCACACUAAUCCUCCAUCCAUAUGUGAAGGAUGUGCCCAGGGGGUUUAUGGGGCUGAUUACUCUGGAUCUGGUGUUAUCCUUUUCUGGGGUGAAUAAAUAAAAGUUAAGUUU